CAUACUUUCCUUGCUCUUAGCCAAUGCAACUGGAAGAAAUACAGACUGCUUAGAAGUAAGAAGGUGUCAUUGCGAGGUACCUAUAAAAACUUUUUUUUCUUUACCUUUAGAGAGAAGACUGCUCACGUAGACUGAAAAAGGGCAUCGGUGAGAAGCUCUGCCUCCACCUGUAGCUGAUUAACCUGUCACUCAGGUUGUCCGCAAAGGUGGGGAGCUGGGGCUUGAACCCAAGGCUUGUGCGAGAUAACAUGUGUGCUCAACUGAGUGUACCACUGCUCCAGUCCUAAAAUUGUUUGAGUAUUAAGAACUAAUCAUCAUUCUUCAUCAUUCCUUCCUCCCUAUUUUCUUGUGAGAAGUCACCUGGCCCUUUCACACCAGGGCACUCUGAUUCCUGUUCCCAGAGCUGCACCAUCCCUCAGCCUCCUUCAGAUCCUGAGAUCGAUGUAGAUAAUAACACUUCAUGGCUAAGAGUUCCUGUCAAUGGAGUUGAAUAAUCCAGUAUUUGGCUUUCUGGUCUCAAAUGUGUUUGCAACACUUUAAUUCAAAAACUAACGGAAAAAAGAUCCAAUUGAGCCUUGGAUAGAAGACUACUGGCCUAGAAAUAGUCAUCUUUCUUCCCAGGAGUCAAAUUUCUUUGCAUCCUGAAUAUUCAAAUUAAAGACUAUACAUCAUUAAAAAUGAA
This is a long non-coding RNA of Erinaceus europaeus (western European hedgehog), 682 nucleotides long. RefSeq lists it as uncharacterized. NCBI's taxonomy places the organism in Eukaryota, Metazoa, Chordata, Mammalia, Eulipotyphla, Erinaceidae. The record is from RefSeq and is a predicted model, not a curated record. The transcript is spliced from 4 exons.